AGGAGUAUGAUGAUGUGUGGAGUAUCACUGAAGAUGUGACAAACCUGUUAGACUAUGAUGAUGUGGGGGAGGAGUCAAAUGAUGAGGGAGGGGCCGUAUGACUCAAUGGCCACACCUACUACCUCUGUGUAUUUCAUCAUUUU
This is a long non-coding RNA of Cyprinus carpio (common carp), 143 nucleotides long. RefSeq lists it as uncharacterized. The record is from RefSeq and is a predicted model, not a curated record. The transcript is spliced from 2 exons. NCBI's taxonomy places the organism in Eukaryota, Metazoa, Chordata, Actinopteri, Cypriniformes, Cyprinidae.